UGAGAUUCUACCAGUUUCCCUACUGGUUUGGUGAUCGCGCACUUUGUGCGCAUGCAGCUUUCCAAAUACCAGUUGAGGCACUGCCGCGUCAAUCAGCGGAGAGGAUAAAGAACAGAAAAGCGCAGGGGCGGGUGGGAGGACCGAUCCUGCCCUU
Notechis scutatus (mainland tiger snake) is the source of this 154-nucleotide non-coding RNA. Lineage: Eukaryota; Metazoa; Chordata; Lepidosauria; Squamata; Elapidae. The record is from RefSeq and is a predicted model, not a curated record.